This 497-nucleotide ribosomal RNA is filed under the name uncultured bacterium. Its description in RNAcentral is "partial 16S ribosomal RNA". It matches the Rfam family "Bacterial small subunit ribosomal RNA", at positions 28 to 507 of the family's 1533-position model. The record is from RNAcentral.
GAUGAACGCUGGCGGCGUGCCUAAUACAUGCAAGUCGAGCGAACGGACGAGAAGCUUGCUUCUCUGAUGUUAGCGGCGGACGGGUGAGUAACACGUGGAUUACCUACCUAUAAGACUGGGAUAACUUCGGGAAACCGUAGCUAAUACCGGAUAAUAUUUUGAACCGCAUGGUUCAAAAGUGAAAGACGGUCUUGCUGUCACUUAUAGAUGGAUCCGCGCUGCAUUAGCUAGUUGGUAAGGUAACGGCUUACCAAGGCAACGAUGCAUAGCCGACCUGAGAGGGAGAUCGGCCACACUGGAACUGAGACACGGUCCCGACUCCUACGGGAGGCAGCAGUAGGGAAUCUUCCGCGAUGGGCGAAAGCCUGACGGAGCAACGCCGCGUGAGUGAUGAAGGUCUUCGGAUCGUAAAACGCUGUUAGUAGGGAAGAACAUAUGUGUAAGUAACUGUGCACAUCUUGACGGUACCUAAUCAGAAAGCCACGGCUAACUACGUG